This 76-nucleotide transfer RNA is filed under the name Actinomycetes bacterium. Its description in RNAcentral is "Actinobacteria bacterium tRNA-Glu". It matches the Rfam family "tRNA". From Rfam's summary of the family: Transfer RNA (tRNA) molecules are approximately 80 nucleotides in length. Lineage: Bacteria; Bacillati; Actinomycetota; Actinomycetes. The record is from RNAcentral. RNAcentral also lists the same sequence under 1 other name.
GGCGCAUUCGUCUAGUGGCCCAGGACACAGCCCUCUCAAGGCUGAAACAGGGGUUCGACUCCCCUAUGCGCUACCA